RNAcentral lists this non-coding RNA (30 nucleotides) under Homo sapiens (human). Lineage: Eukaryota; Metazoa; Chordata; Mammalia; Primates; Hominidae. The record is from RNAcentral.
AACUAAGGAAAAGUUCUGCAACAGCCAUGU